Molecule: unclassified non-coding RNA, 240 nt
Filed under: soil metagenome
Description: partial contains 5.8S ribosomal RNA, internal transcribed spacer 2, and large subunit ribosomal RNA
Source: RNAcentral
AACAAGGCGUACCUGCGGACCUGCGGAAGGAUCAUUACGAGAGUUGCAAAACUCCCAACCCUUUGUUUACCUACCUGUGGAAUCGUGCUUCGGCAGGCAGCCCCGUGGGACGGAGCCUCGCCUUCUUGCGAAGGUGCCUGCCGCUGGCCAAACACAAAAUUCUGUUAUAUAAGUUACUAUCUGAGUCUUAUACAAAUAAUCAAAACUUUCAACAAUGGAUCUCAGAUCGGAAGAGCACAC